RNAcentral lists this ribosomal RNA (490 nucleotides) under uncultured bacterium. RNAcentral describes it as "partial 16S ribosomal RNA". It matches the Rfam family "Bacterial small subunit ribosomal RNA", at positions 30 to 507 of the family's 1533-position model. The record is from RNAcentral.
AUUGAACGCUGGCGGCAUGCUUUACACAUGCAAGUCGGACGGCAGCACAGAGAAGCUUGCUUCUUGGGUGGCGAGUGGCGAACGGGUGAGUAAUAUAUCGGAACGUACCGAGUAAUGGGGGAUAACUAAUCGAAAGAUUAGCUAAUACCGCAUAUUCUCUGAGGCGGAAAGCAGGGGACCUUCGGGCCUUGCGUUAUUCGAGCGGCCGAUAUCUGAUUAGCUAGUUGGUGGGGUAAAGGCCUACCAAGGCGACGAUCAGUAGCGGGUCGGAGAGGAUGAUCCGCCACACUGGGACUGAGACACGGCCCAGACUCCUACGGGAGGCAGCAGUGGGGAAUUUUGGACAAUGGGCGCAAGCCUGAUCCAGCCAGGCCGCGUGUCUGAAGAAGGCCUUCGGGUUGUAAAGGACUUUUGUCAGGGAAGAAAAGGCUGUUGCUAAUAUCGACAGCUGAUGACGGUACCUGAAGAAUAAGCACCGGCUAACUACGUG